This 159-nucleotide long non-coding RNA is filed under the name Penaeus monodon (black tiger shrimp). RNAcentral's name for it is "uncharacterized LOC119577214, transcript variant X2". The record is from RNAcentral. Lineage: Eukaryota; Metazoa; Arthropoda; Malacostraca; Decapoda; Penaeidae.
UCAGUUUCCCCUCGGCCGUCCCCGUCUUCGCGCGUCCCCUCGACCCGCUCCGCCCCCGACUGCUUCGACUCACCCAGGAAGAUGCUUUCUUGAAAUAAAAGGUUCUAUAAACAGAAAUAAAAGAGGAAGAGAGAAUGGACGAAGUGCCGAUAAAGUAAA